Cornus florida is the source of this 1457-nucleotide long non-coding RNA. RefSeq lists it as uncharacterized. The record is from RefSeq and is a predicted model, not a curated record. The transcript is spliced from 2 exons. NCBI's taxonomy places the organism in Eukaryota, Viridiplantae, Streptophyta, Magnoliopsida, Cornales, Cornaceae.
AAAAAAAAUUCCCCACAAUGGGAGAUCAAUCCCAUUUAGAGCAACAAAAAAAAUACCCUUAGCGGAUUGAUCCCCUGAUAAUGUGGAUCGAUCUUUUUUUUACUUGUGCCUUCACUUUUUCAUUACAAAGUAAAGCGGCAAUUUUUUUUUUUUUUUUUUUUCUGUCUAAAAUUGUCGAUCCCUCGCUAAAAGAGAUCGAGCGCCCCUUAGCCUUGCCCUCCAUUCGCUGCCCUACCUUCAAUCAAAUUUCCUCUCUUCUCCCUUCGAAUUCCUCAAGCAAAUUUCCACUCACAAUCUCUUCAUCCGUUCUUCAUCACUCUUCUCCUCCCCACGAAUCUCUUCCUGGCAUUCACUCCCAAUUUCUUCCUGGCAUUCACGGUGUAACACGAACCCAUAAUCUCCCGCUAUUCUCUUCUCCUCAUCCGCGGUGUCGCAGGCGUUAAAUUCCGGCGCCAUGAUUUCCGGUUCUUCUCUGCCAACGGUUUGAGGUUUGCCUUUUGCUUCGCCUCUUUGGGUUUCGUUUGGGUGCGAUUGGGGAAGUAGGGUUGCCGAAUUCGGUAAAUUUCGGCUGGGUCGCUAUUCUCCGACGAUUUCGGCUGGGUCUUUCCGGCGAUUUUAGCUGGGUCUCUCCAGUGAUUUUUCUGGUUCUUCUGGCCGUGCUUGACCGUGACUUGGAUGAGUCCAAUUUUGAUUGGGUUCCCUUCUUCCGCGAUUUUGUGGGUCGUCACGAGUUUGUUGAUUGUAAUUAAUUGUUUCGGUGAGUUUGUGAGUUGUCAACUGGGUUCCAGAUUCCACUGUCAAAAACCCCAACAAUUACAUCACUUUCAACCAUGGUAUUUCGUUUCAUGGCAUCAGUGGAAGUCCCAAGAUCUUGUUGUAUAAAGUUGGAAGGCUCUACUAGGGAAAACAGAAACUACUCUGUCCAUGUCGGCGAGCAUUCUUCGCUUCUCAUCGGUCAAUAAGGUUCAAACGAACUAAUUUCAGUUCAUUAAAGCCUUUUUGGAGACAAGCAAAGACAUUCGGAAAAAGUUCAGAAAAUGGCAAAAAGAGGUCGCAGCCCAUUGGUCGUAUAGUGUCUUAUCCUUCAAAAACGGUCAAUUCUACCUUUUUCGGGCCUUUGAUGAUGUUCCCAAAGAUGAAGAAGCAAAUCAAUUAGGCCAGAGCCAAAAUGGAGCUAAAUAAGGUGUAAAAGAAAAUUCCAACUCUGGGGGAUUGAUCCCCCCAGAGUGGGGGAUCGAUCCCUCACUAUUUACAGAACUAAAAAUGCCCCUGGGGGAUCGAUCCCCAAGGCUGGGGGAUCGAUCCCCUAGCCCCUUGCAGCAUUGCGAGAUUUAUGUUUACUUGGAUACAAGAUUUUCUUGUUUUGGGCUUAUUUUGUAAUUUAUUGGUUUCCAAUAAGGCUUAUACUUAAGGAAACCAGUACCUAUUAAUUGGGGGGGAGUUUUUAUUUUUGAUUA